Styela clava is the source of this 3398-nucleotide RNA transcript. It is a transcript of the gene named ras-related protein Rap-1b-like, with no coding region annotated. NCBI's taxonomy places the organism in Eukaryota, Metazoa, Chordata, Ascidiacea, Stolidobranchia, Styelidae. The record is from RefSeq and is a predicted model, not a curated record.
GAAAUAUUUAUUUCUUAUAAAAGAUUCAGGUUUCAAGUUGUAUAAGUACUCAAGUAGAGCAUUAUAUAAAAUAUCUUGGUAUAUUUGUACUUGGUGGAUAUAAAACUUCUUGUGGAAAUUGUGUUUUCUGUUGCCCACUUGCUGCACUGUGUAAGGUAGAUCACACCAACUGGAAGGAUGCGAGAGUACAAGUUGGUUGUGCUCGGUUCUGGAGGUGUUGGGAAAAGUGCAUUGACAGUGCAAUUCGUACAAGGAAUAUUUGUUGAAAAAUAUGAUCCUACAAUAGAAGACAGCUAUAGAAAGCAAGUUGAAACAGAUAACCAGCAAUGUAUGUUAGAAAUCCUGGACACGGCAGGGACGGAACAAUUCACAGCCAUGAGGGAUUUGUACAUGAAAAAUGGGCAAGGUUUUGUUCUUGUAUACAGUAUCACAUCACAGUCAUCAUACAAUGACUUACAGGAUUUAAGGGAACAAAUUCUAAGAGUUAAAGAUACAGAUGACGUACCUAUGGUUCUUGUCGGAAACAAAUGUGAUUUGGAGGAUGAAAGGGUGGUUGGAAAAGAUCAAGGUGCUCAUUUGGCAAGGCAGUGGAAUAAUUGCUGCUUCUUGGAGACAUCUGCAAAACAAAAAAUCAACGUGAAUGAGAUAUUCUUUGAUCUCGUCAGGCAAAUUAAUUCCAAGAGUCCCGAGCCAAAGAAGAAAAAAAGGAAAAGCAAAGGGGGUUGCGCCAUCUUAUAACUGUUGCGACAUUGCACCCUCAAACCUACUCACUCCACGCCUUUCAUUUAUGUCACCCUUCCCAAAUAUAGAAAAAGACUCCUUUUUAUUAAUAUUCUUGUUAUUAAAAACAUUAAUAAUAUUGAAAUAGAAAAAUUUCAACAAUCCCAUCAUCUAAUAAUGAAUAGAACUUUUUUAAAUUAUUGCAUUAUGUUUUUCUAUCUGAUCAUGCAUGGCACAACACGUGGAUUCUAAUUUCAAACUAAAUAAAAUUUAUAUUUUGAUAUUAGCUGCCAAAAAGUAUUCUUUACAUUUUAUAGUUUCAGUCGACAGAAAUAUAAAAUUGAAACAAAGAAAUUUAAAUGCAAACUGAUUUUCCGGCAGAAAGUACUUUUUUGGCAAAGUAAUAUCUAUAUAUGCAGCAUUAUCAUGAAAAUCUUAUGAAAACUGUAGGGAAAAUUAAUCUUUGUUACAUCGUUUAUAAAUCCUUAUAUUGACAGACUGUAUGAUUUGAUAGAUACCUAUUCAUCAGUGCCAUACCCAUCUAUGUAUUGUUCGUUGACAAUCAUGGACCACAUAGCAACAGCGUACUCCUUCCUUUUGUAGCUUACGCUAUGUAUAAUGAUUUAGCAAAAAAUUUUUUUUGAAAUGCUUGAUUAUUUUAUCAAUCCCCUGAUGUUUUUUCUUCUUAUUAAUAAUGACAAUUGAUGAUAACCUUACUUUUAUUGUUGUUUUCGUUGCGACUAAUUAAAUACCCUAUUUUGCGGGCAUGACUCUGGUUGACGAGAGAAAAGCCACAGGAAAAUGCAAUUUUUGAUCACGAUCCUUCAGAAGUUGUCAGCAAUUUUCUUUGCUCUCGUACAACCAUUGUUAUACUUUUCCUAUUACAAUUCUUGUUGUUGAUAUUCUUAUUAUUACUGUUAUUAUUAUUUUGUGUUUCCCCGCAUAUCGCAUAUCGUACAAAAUUUCAAUAUACAGAACAAGCCAUGGAUAGUUAUGACGAAAAUGAUUAUUUAUGGCCAGUGAUGGUCAUUGAUAAAACCUGUUAAUACAGUACAAUUUUAUCUAUGAUCUACGCAUGGCUGUUAUUGAUCUUUUAGAUUGAAUUAUCCACGGUUUGCAUUUUGCUAGUAGAUCACUAAAUUCUUGUUCUUUUCAUUAUAAUAAUAAUCCUUUUCAUUUUUGCUAGUAUAGGAUUAAAGUAUAUAUAGCAUCCUCUAGCGUUUGUAACUAUCAAAUUGUAGACUAAUAAAACUGUUAUGCUGCAAACUUUUAUCUGAAAUAUUUAAUUUUUCAUGGCACAGACACAAAAGCUCAACACGCCAAUGUGAUAUUUGUAGAAAAAUGUUCAAAAGCAUUUGAAAAGAAAUUUACAUAAUUUAAGUAAAUUCUAUCAAAUUCCAUGAAAUGCUUGGAGUUACGAAAAAAUAUAUACGGUAUAUUUAGAAAUUAUCAUGGUUUUGCUGCAUAAAAUUAUAAUAUUCCAUUCACCAUGGUUUUUACUUCCAUUCACCAUGGUUUUUACAUACUGUUAAUUUGAAUAUUAGUAUGAUAUCUCUUGUUAUAUUUUGUGUAGUCAGAUGUCAAAUGGAUGUUUAUUCAUUUGGGAGGAAAUGGAUGUUUUUUUUAUAUCCUGACCAAAUAUAUGCCAGUAGCUUCUCAAUUGGUGCCUUCAUUAAAAGGCAAUUUGUUUUACUGGGUAUUAGAUGCAUGAUGCACCUAUUAAAAAAUUGGAAAUUUUCCGAAUCUUGAUUUUGUAUAUCUUUUUGGUAUUUUAAUGAUUUAAAUUAUGGAAACCACCUCCUUUAUUCAACACUGGGAAAACGUCAGUUGAUGAUAGUCAUGGAAAAUGUGAAUAUAUUAGUCCACUCACUACCUGUGUCAAAUCUGGUAAAAGAUUCACCUUAUACCAUCAUAACUUGGAGAAGUAAAAAUAGGUUAUUGACAUACAAACCUGUUUGGUGUAUUUAAUGGAAACAUAAAAAGGAAAUGUAUUAAUGUUAUACUAGGUUAUUUAUGGCCAAUCGGUAAAUUUUUAUUUUGUCUUUUUAGUGUUAAAAAAUAUUGUAAAAUUUGCAUAAAUUUCAAUAACAAUCUAUGUAAUGGAAUUAUUGGAUAUUUUUGUGUUGGUAAUCUUGACUUUUCAUGUUGCCAGUAUUUUUUAUGAUUUGUAUCAUAAAUAUCAAAUAUGAAAAGUUGACCACUAAUGAAUUGCAUCACAUUAGCUAGUUGCCCUUUCUAAUAUUUGUAUGUUAAAACAAGUCAAGUUUUGUCAAAAAUCCAUGCUUUCUAUAUAAUUUGUUAUCUUUUCCAUCAUGAGUGGACAAUAUUAAGGUAUAAAAGCUCCUACACAAGGUCCAACAGAAUUUGUAGCUGAUAAAGCAUGCUGGAUAAUGGCAAAUAUGGAGUGAAUAAAACCCGUUUUGGCUAACUAAUGUUUAUUGAGCUUUGACAGUACUGCUGAAAACAUUGUAGCAUUAUUUCUUAUUUUGUGGGCUCGAUCCAGCCUAAUAUUGGUUGAUGCGGUUUUGUUAUUCCUGUGUAUUAAUCAAUUAAUGAAUCAGUAAUUAUUAUUAAUUUUCGUCAUCAUCGGUGAAUGAAUGCAUUUUUUUCGUUGCCAGCAAUUAUUUAAUUGGAAUGUCGCCCGCUGAUGAAUAAAAUAAAAUUAUGCGUUAUUUUGA